UUAGCGAUUACCGAAGAUAACCGGAAACGAUUCCGUUAGAGAUUCCGAGAUUAGCGAACAGAGAUUCAGUUACCGAUUCCUUUAGCGAUUAGCGAUUCCUAUAAACGAGUAACUCGGUUAGCGAUUCCGAUUAGCGAACAAGAUAAAUCAGAAUCAGAGUGAAGAUAAACCUAACGAAUAAACCACAAAUUAUUGAUGUAACAAAGAUUGAUGAAUAAUGUGUAAUAAGCCAUGAAUCCGAAGUAAAGAAAAGCUCGAAUGAAGCGCAAUUUCAAGAUUCUAAGUCAAGUAGAAACCAUGGAAGAAAAUUAACGAUGAUUACUGUGUUAAGAAGACGGUUAUGGAUAAUCAAGGUGGUGAUGAUGUAGAGUUGAAAAGUUUGUUAUGUGAUUUGAUGGAUUGUUGAUUUGACGGUUAUAUUCUGCACUAGCUUUUCUAUUUAUACUUAUAGUUGGAUUGUAAUUUGAU
This 468-nucleotide long non-coding RNA is filed under the name Trifolium pratense (red clover). RNAcentral describes it as "long non-coding RNA (TPRA_LNC007226)". Lineage: Eukaryota; Viridiplantae; Streptophyta; Magnoliopsida; Fabales; Fabaceae. The record is from RNAcentral.